Molecule: regulatory RNA element, 116 nt
Organism: Streptosporangium subroseum
Lineage: Bacteria; Bacillati; Actinomycetota; Actinomycetes; Streptosporangiales; Streptosporangiaceae
Rfam family: SAM (S-adenosyl methionine) riboswitch aptamer
About the family: SAM-IV is a mRNA element that regulates gene expression via direct sensing of S-adenosylmethionine (SAM or AdoMet).
Source: Rfam
GGUCAUGAGUGCCAGUGACAAGCCCCGGCUCGCUGGCCGGCAACCCUCGCGUCCGCGGCGGGGUGCCCCGGGUGAGGACCUGGCCCGGCACGUCGCGUGUCGGGCAAGCGCGGGCU